CGAAGAAUAGUUUAGUUGAGAAUCCUGGCUUUGGGAGUCAGGGGUGGGGGUUAAAAUCCCCCUUCUUCGA
This 70-nucleotide transfer RNA is filed under the name Oryzias minutillus (dwarf medaka). Its description in RNAcentral is "tRNA-Pro". It matches the Rfam family "tRNA". Rfam says of the family: Transfer RNA (tRNA) molecules are approximately 80 nucleotides in length. Their secondary structure includes four short double-helical elements and three loops (D, anti-codon, and T loops). The record is from RNAcentral. Lineage: Eukaryota; Metazoa; Chordata; Actinopteri; Beloniformes; Adrianichthyidae.